CGGAGGAUCCAAGCGUUAUCCGGAUUUAUUGGGUUUAAAGGGUGCGUAGGUGGCUUUUUAAGUCAGGGGUGAAAGACGGUAGCUUAACUAUCGCAGUGCCUUUGAUACUGAAGAGCUUGAAUGAACUAGAGGUAGGCGGAAUGUGACAAGUAGCGGUGAAAUGCAUAGAUAUGUCACAGAACACCAAUUGCGAAGGCAGCUUACUAUGGUUUUAUUGACACUGAGGCACGAAAGCGUGGGGAUCAAACAGGAUUAGAUACCCUGGUAGUCCACGCCCUAAACGAUGAAUACUCGAUGUUGGCGAUAUACGGUCAGCGUCUAAGCGAAAGCGUUAAGUAUUCCACCUGGGGAGUACGCCCGCAAGGGUG
Molecule: ribosomal RNA, 368 nt
Filed under: uncultured organism
Description: bacterial SSU rRNA
Rfam family: Bacterial small subunit ribosomal RNA
Source: RNAcentral